GUGGGGAAUAUUGGACAAUGGGCGCAAGCCUGAUCCAGCCAUGCCGCGUGAGUGAUGAAGGCCCUAGGGUUGUAAAGCUCUUUCACCGGAGAAGAUAAUGACGGUAUCCGGAGAAGAAGCCCCGGCUAACUUCGUGCCAGCAGCCGCGGUAAUACGAAGGGGGCUAGCGUUGUUCGGAAUUACUGGGCGUAAAGCGCACGUAGGCGGACAUUUAAGUCAGGGGUGAAAUCCCAGGGCUCAACCCCGGAACUGCCUUUGAUACUGGGUGUCUGGAGUAUGGAAGAGGUAAGUGGAAUUCCGAGUGUAGAGGUGAAAUUCGUAGAUAUUCGGAGGAACACCAGUGGCGAAGGCGGCUUACUGGUCCAUUACUGACGCUGAGGUGCGAAAGCGUGGGGAGCAAACAGGAUUAGAAACCCGUGUAGUCC
Molecule: ribosomal RNA, 425 nt
Filed under: uncultured bacterium
Lineage: Bacteria
Description: partial 16S ribosomal RNA
Rfam family: Bacterial small subunit ribosomal RNA
Source: RNAcentral